This 21-nucleotide non-coding RNA is filed under the name Caenorhabditis elegans. Lineage: Eukaryota; Metazoa; Nematoda; Chromadorea; Rhabditida; Rhabditidae. The record is from RNAcentral.
UAUUUAUUGUGAAGAUUAAGA